The submitters of this non-coding RNA (86 nucleotides) gave its source as unclassified sequences. The record is from Rfam.
GUGAGGAGGGGCUGCAUGAACGAAGUUCAUAUUUAAUCAGCCCCGACGACCUGCCGUCUGGCGAAGGCGAGGGGGCGACACUAGAG